UACGUAGGGUGCAGGCGUUAAUCGGAAUUACUGGGCGUAAAGCGUGCGCAGGCGGUUUGCUAAGACAGGUGUGAAAUCCCCGGGCUUAACCUGGGAACUGCGCUUGUAACUGGCAAGCUAGAGUGUGGCAGAGGGGGGUGGAAUUCCACGUGUAGCAGUGAAAUGCGUAGAUAUGCGGAGGAACACCGAUGGCGAAGGCAAUCCCCUGGACCUGUACUGACGCUCAUGCACGAAAGCGUGGGGAGCAAACAGG
RNAcentral lists this ribosomal RNA (253 nucleotides) under uncultured bacterium. RNAcentral's name for it is "partial 16S ribosomal RNA". It matches the Rfam family "Bacterial small subunit ribosomal RNA", at positions 524 to 776 of the family's 1533-position model. The record is from RNAcentral.